RNAcentral lists this long non-coding RNA (1979 nucleotides) under Marmota monax (woodchuck). Lineage: Eukaryota; Metazoa; Chordata; Mammalia; Rodentia; Sciuridae. The record is from RNAcentral.
GUCUAGAAUGAUACCAAACAGCAACCCCUAGCAUCCCAUCUUGCUGCUGUCCUUGUAACAUGAAGUUCCUGGGAGCCUCGGUACCAGAUUAGCAAGUGGGUAGUUUCUCCUGUGGAAGGCACUCUUUCAAAUUUUCUUUUUUCUUUAUUUAUUUUCGAGUUCUAGGGAUGAACGUGGGGGUGUUUUAUUUUACCAUUGAGCUUUUCAUUUUUUAUUUCAAGACAGGAUCUUACAAAGUCACCCGUCACCUGAGCUGACCUCAGACUUGUGAUCCUCCUGCCUCAACCUCCUGAGUCCUUGGGACUGCAGGCCUAUAUACCACAGCACUUGGCUUACUUGAGAAUUUUCAAUGAAGACACUGUCGUGGGUGUUAUUAGGGAAAGCACCCAGACAGAGCACAGCAACUGCUUAACUGUGCUUGUAUCUCAGUUUAUCUCUCUGUGGUGCCAAGCCGCUUUCUUUUUUCUUUCUUUUUUGGUGUGUCUGUGUGUGUCGGGAACGGCAGGUGGGGGCUGCUUUAUAAUCAAACCAAGCCCCAGUAGCCAUCAAUGUAAGGCACCAGCCUGUCUCAGAAGUGUGAGCUCAAACCAAGAGGCACACUCUUCUCCAUGGCUUUAAGAGAAAAGAGACUGUGAGUGCCAAGGAAGCUUCCCAUUUGAGUUUGGAAGGACUCUCCAAGGAUCUGUCCCCUGGAGUCACCUUUGAUCCACAUUUCUCCCAGGCCAGAAGGUGCAUAGUGCGCCCUCUGCUGGGAAAAAGGAGAACAGUCCUUAUUCUGCCCCAUCCCUCAGGGCAGUUACUGUUUUCCCGUGAGCUACUGAGGACAGUAAGGUGUGCAGCUUGCAGAUCCUGCAUCAUCUGUACAGAUGCAGGCCUGAUUCCAUCCUUAUUGUGUCUCAAGUCGAGGGCUGAGACAGACUCUGGGCUCAGACACAGGGCAGGUAGGUGUUCCAUGCCCCACCCCCACCAGGGGGUCUCAGCCACUCCCAGUCACUUAGCCAAUGUUUGGACACAAACAAAGCUGAAAGCCAACAGAACCCAUAUCAAAGCUCAGUCCAGGCCACAUAUCCACCAGUACUUUCCUUCAUGUCCCUGAUGCUAAUUCCUGUGCAGAAACUUUUAAAGAAUAUUCAGGUUCCAUCUUAAAAUAAUAAGCCAAGGCCACACAGACAAUUUUAAAAAAAGCCAAUUUGGUACUCAUUUUUUUGUUCUCUCCUGUUUGCUUCAGUUAGAAGCUUGCUUAUGUUUGCUUAUGUUGGAAAUGACUCUGAGGUUUCAAGAGAGUAUUGAGGUGGAAUUCACACCCCUCUGGGUCACGGAUAGAGGGAGGAAAUGACUGGACUGUGAUUGACCCAUCCUGGUGGUGUCUCCUGAAUACUGAGGGCCAAGCAAGUAGAAUUUCUCCCACUUAUAUCCCAGCACUGCCCUUGCCUUUCUGUGAAGCUAAGACAUUCUGCUGGGCCUUGUGAAUGACUCACAUGGAGUCUGCCCAGAAGAAGGGUAUGGAAGGACAGGAUGCACAGUUGACCCCUUCAUCCAGAGGAGAGGCCACCACUGACUCGCCCUAAUCUAUGAACAUCAAAGACCUGAGCCUCUGGAGCCCCAAGCUACUCCCUCGUGAAUGCUUCUGAGGCUGCUGCCACUGGAGUUUGACAAAGAUGCAAAGAGAUUGUGGAAAAUCAUAGCUAUAAAAAUGGCUGUUGAUUGGGCACAGAGAGAGACACCUGGGAGGCUGAGGCAGGAGGAUCACAAGUUCAAGGACAACCUGGGCAACACCACAAGACCAUGAAUGAAUGAAUGAAUGAAUAUUUGUUUGCAGAUGGCAGAUAUGGGCUACUGUUUUGGUUCCAUGAGUAGUGCCCUGUUUCAAAUGUUGGACAUUCCCAGUUUCUGAUAGACCUGGAUACUCCUGGAGUAUUGCAGAGUCUUUAUAUUGAUAUAAAUGCUUUAUCAAAUACACCCGUUAAAGUGGAAAACUG